AUGGGAAAAGGAGACCCAAGAGCUGUGGUCGAGAAGAAGAUACUUCUGUGGGGACUUCUCCUCUGUCUGGUGACAGGCCCCCUGGGCGCUGUGUCUGCUCUGACCCUGCUGGAGUCGGGCCCAGGCCUGGUGAAGCCAUCCCAGACCCUCUCCCUCACCUGCUCUGUCUCUGGGACCUCUGUCACCAGCAGUUACUAUUGGUAUUGGAUCCGCCAGCGCCCUGGGAAAGGGUUGGAAUGGAUGGGGUACUGGUCAGGUAGUACCAGCUACAACCCAGCGUUCCAGGGGCGCAUCUCCAUCACGGCUGACACCUCCAAGAACCAGUUCUCCCUGAAGAUGAGCUCAGUGACCCCCGAAGACACAGCCAUGUAUUACUGUGCGAGAGACACAGACAGGUUCUCUCUGCAUCACGAGUACAUAGAAGUUUAUCCCUCCAAUGACCCAAAAGUCAGUCUCCUGGAAUCCUCAGGACUACAGAUGGAUUAA
This is a non-coding RNA of Sorex fumeus (smoky shrew), 486 nucleotides long. Lineage: Eukaryota; Metazoa; Chordata; Mammalia; Eulipotyphla; Soricidae. The record is from the annotation of a RefSeq genome assembly.